AAUAAUCUACACUCUUUCUGCUGACUGCAGUCCUACUAGCAAAAACUCUAAACUAAAUGUUCUGUUCCAACAAAUGGAAGAGCAAAAUAACUGUGAAGAGUGAACAUAUUUAGCAAAUGUUUACAACUCAUGCUCUUAGUUAUAUUAUGUGGGUUUUUACUAUCGAAUGCUCGUCCUAUUGCAGCUUUCUCUCUAUCUCUAUCUCUAUCUCAC
This 213-nucleotide long non-coding RNA is filed under the name Panax ginseng (ginseng). RNAcentral describes it as "long non-coding RNA (PGIN_LNC010254)". Lineage: Eukaryota; Viridiplantae; Streptophyta; Magnoliopsida; Apiales; Araliaceae. The record is from RNAcentral.